ACGAUUCAUUUAUUUUUAUUUUUUCUCAUAUCCCAAGUCGUGGGGAGUAAUUCAAUGAUCUUCAAUAUUUUUCUUUGGUCGUUACUUUCAUCUUGAACUCUUCUUCUUCUGCCUUAUGCCUCUGUUGCAGCACUGGUUAGGAAAUUUCGUGGAAUCGAUUUCUGGUGUCGAGGAUUAACAUCAGGGUAUAAAUGUGGGCAUUGUAUUCAUGUUCUGUUAGUUGUUUCAGUGCUUAUUUCUCUUCUGGAGGGAGACUCUCUAGAGGAGUGGAGUAUAAGAUGCUUGUAUACUAAAAUGCUUGUUUGAUCUUCGUAUUAGAGCUUCCUAUCCCAGGAGACUCUAGAUGGUGAUGACACAAAUGGAGAGCAAACUCAAGAGUGUUGAAUGACAACAUCAACUAGAUGGGAUGCAAGCAUCCAUUCAAGAAGUUAUCAAUCGGUUGGCAAAUGGAGGAGAUGACAAACUAAUUGAAGGAGUGCUUAAAAGUACAUGAGGUGGAAUGUAGGAGGAAGACAACAAUGGGGAUGGUCAGGAUUCAGAACAUGGCUGUUUGACUUGAUGACCAAGAAAAAACGAAGAAGUGAGGAACAGGUGAAGUGGGUUGAGGUUCCAUAUUCCGUGGGUGGAGAGCUACUUCAAAAUAAACUGUAUUUUGGAGGUGGUGAAGGAUGACACAAAUGGAGAGCAAACUCAAGAGUGUUGAGCGACAACAUCAACUAGAUGGGAUGCAAACAUCCAUUCAAGAAGUUAUCUAUCGGUUGGCAAAUGGAGGAGAUGACAAACUGAUUAAAGGUGUGCUUAAAAGUAGACGAGGUGGAAUGUAGGAGGAAGAAAGCAAUGGGGAUGGUAAGAACUCAGAACAUGGCUGUUUGACUUGAUGAUCAAGAAAAAACGAAGUGAGGAACAAGUGAAGUGGGUUGAGGUUCCACAUUCAAUGGGUGGAGUGCUACUUCAAAAUAAACUGUAUUUUGGAGGCAGUGAAGGUUGACGCUACAGUGGUAUGUGUAUGUUUGGAAGGGGGGGGGGGGUUUAAGUUGGUUCCAAUGGUGGUAACCAAGGGUAGCUGUGGUGACUAGGCUGAUUCUUUGAUAUGCUGUGUUGGGCUAAUUUCAGUUAUCUUCGUCGGGGAUCCUUAUGAGAACUUAAUGGGCCUGGGAUAGAGGGGGCUAGUCGUGGAGUACAGGUAGCAAUUUGAGCUUUUGUUUGCUCUAUUGUUCUUCACAUGAACAGUUCACGAGAAGGACAUUUAUGAAUGGGUUGAAAAAGGAAAUUAAAGCUGAAGUUAAUGAUGGGUGCAGGAGACAAACACACUAAUGAUAUUAGCAUAGAAGAUAGAGGAUCAAAAUUGGACCUUAGGUCAUUCAAUAAGGAGUUCGGCAAAGAGAGUUGGGCUUACUCUCAACUCGGCAUUAAGUGGGAGGUUUACUGGACCCUAAGACAAUGCUUCUCUUGUGAUGAGGUAUUCUCUUGGCUAUGUUUGUCUUAACAAGCAUCUCCAUGUGAUUUUGUUUGGAGAAACUGAGGAAAUGGAUGAGCGGGAUAGGAAGGAGAUCAAGUAACUGAAGAAGUAAAUUUACAGUUAAAUGCAAGUAGUAUUGCAUGUAUGACAUGAAAAAUUUCCUUAAAAUUAUGGGGAACCAUUACUGUAAAGAAGUCAUAAUAAUGGUAGAUUUUGGAGCUUCCCAUAGUUUUUUGUCCUUGAUAUUGGUGGAGGAGUUGAAUAUUCUCACCAAGACUACCAAGGGGAAUUUUCUAUACGUGGGUAAUGUGGUCAGUGAUUGGGGAGUCAAGGAGUGUGCUGGGGAGUAAAAUUGUGGUUACCAAACCUUGAGAUUGUUUUUUUUGGUGUACAAUGGUCGCAUUGAGGUUAAAACUUAUGAUCUCAAGCAUACUACCCAAAUCUUUCACCGUUAGGUCGACCCUUGUUCAAAAUCAAACCUUAAGAUUGUUUAGGAUUUCUGUUUAUUGGAUUUGGUGGGAGUAGAUGUGAUUUUGGGGUAUGAAUGGCUCUAGAGUUUUGGCAAGUUCAUUGCUGCUUUAAAACACUAUUUGAUUGAAAUAAUACAAAGAUGGGAAGGUCAUAGAUAUUAAGGGGGUACAACUUUGUCUUGUAUGGUAAUGUUUUUAAAAGCCAUUAGAAAAGAAUUGACGAUUGAGGGGAGCUUAUUAUGUGGAGUUGGGGAUGAUGAACAUGUAUGGAAGCACAUACUACGAUUCCACAGUUUGAGGGUGAUUUUAAUGAGGAGACUUAUUUGCCACCUAAUAAUAAUAUAGAAUGUGACCAUGUCAUUAUAUUAUAGGAAGGACCUCAAAUCCCUAAUAUUUGUCAAUGCCUCAAGGAAGAGAUUGAAAACUUUUUCGUGAUAUGCUAGCAUAUGGUUUGAUUAGGCCUAGCACAAGCCCUUCAAGUCUACUCAUUUUAAUCAAGAAAAAAGAUGAUAGUUGGCAUAGGGCUCUCAAUAACAUCACCAUCCCUAAUAAAUUUCCUAUUUAUAGAGGAGUUUUUGGAUGAUUGAUGUUGCUAUUUUCUAAAAACUUGAC
RNA transcript from Cajanus cajan (pigeon pea), 2541 nucleotides. It is a transcript of the gene named F-box/kelch-repeat protein At1g22040, with no coding region annotated. The record is from RefSeq and is a predicted model, not a curated record. Lineage: Eukaryota; Viridiplantae; Streptophyta; Magnoliopsida; Fabales; Fabaceae.